Molecule: long non-coding RNA, 1685 nt
Filed under: Triticum aestivum (bread wheat)
Lineage: Eukaryota; Viridiplantae; Streptophyta; Magnoliopsida; Poales; Poaceae
Description: long non-coding RNA (TAES_LNC023025)
Source: RNAcentral
CAAAGUCUAUUACAUAUCGUAGUGCGUUUUCAUAGGAAAUGCAACAAUGAUAUACCAAAAGGAUAAAGGUUUAAUACAUUAUGCCAACAAACGUCACGACUAAUUACUUUGGAUCCGGAUGCUAUUGCUCUCUUACAGGACUGGACCAAAUCGUUUAGGCCAAGAACAACAUUGGAUAAAACUUAACAGACUGAUCCAUUCCACUUACUAUUGAUCUUCUUCACACUAUAUGAAAACUCUAAACCAAACCAUUUGUUGCAACAACAUGCAAAUUCUGUACUGCAGACAAUUAACAGAGUGUUUAAGCAUGUAAAGGUAACUGACUCCAAUAUCAACAAUUCUGUGCACCACCAUACUAAACCAAAUCAUUCAUUCCACCAGUAACAACUCUGCACAUGAGACCAGAAGGAAUUAACCCAGUGCCUGAACACUUAAUCAUGGACGCAAAUUACUUAAGCUGCAUCAGCCUGUGAGCCCACUCCCUAGUGCACAAAACAUCGAACAGAUUGCGGGGCUCAAGGACCAACCUGUUAGGCUGUUACAUAGUGUGUCUGCGUGAGCCCAAGCAUACAGAGGAGGAGGGAGGUGACCCACGAGCUUCCUGCACUCCUCCUACCGAGUGCCAAGGGGGUAGGGAGGAGACGCUGGGCAGCGUGAGGUCGAGGAUGGGGGUCAGGGCGACGGCGGUGGCACGGCGACAGGGGGUGUGCGGCAGGUCGCGGGGAAGGGCGCUCAUCCUCCUGCCAGGUCCGAUGGGGAAGAGGGAGCCAACCCAUGAGCUGGCCACCAGAAAUAAUGAGAGGAAAACUUUAAAAAAAUCAAUGAAAGAACAAUCACAUGGAGAAGCAAUCCAAACAUUCCAAUAUCGCGUUCCAGUAAAACAUGGACAUGAUCCAUCAAAGAGCGACAGAGGGAGUAAGAAUUAGGAUGUUACAUAAAUAGCACAGAAAUGUAGCAAGUACAAAAGAUAGUACAGAAUGAUCGUGAUGCAAGAGAGUGCACUGAAAUUUAACCUUCACUCUCGGCAACGCAUAUCGGAUCGUCGUUCGUCGACCCUUUCAUGAUGUGGUUGCUACCAGUGCUCUGAGAAACAAAAUUGCGUUAAAAUAAUCCGGCAAAACAUACGAUGACUGGGAAUAGUAAAGGUGAGAUCAUAUAAAAGGUCAAAUACAACUCAUAUACUGUGACUCUGUACAUCAAGUAACAAUCUUAUUGUCACUACUCUAUUCACGAAAAAAUGGUAGUAAACAUAUUGUUAGUCCAGUGUACUUCUGUGUAGUUACAAUCUCUGCUCCUUCAAAGGAUUUAGUGUCUAUCCUAUUUUUAUGUUUAGUUAUAGGCACGUCCAUACACUUCGUAGGAACAGGGGCACAAGCGUAGCUUAGAAGUGGAAUAAGUAAUGUACUCCUCUCGCUCGCUCGCUCAAAUUCAAUGUCAUAAGAACAUGCACAGAGGUUAAAUUAAGAAGUCCAAGACAAAUUCAAUGUAGAAUCCAUAUUUUUAGAAUGGCCAACGAUUAUGUGUAAGACAAUGCAUGAUAUUUUGUACCACAAAGUAAUCUUAUAAUGUUGCAGGAGGCUAUAUUCAAGUUUUACCUUCUAUACCUCAAUGUGAAGUGCAAACCUGAAGCAUCAUCUGACCAUGGCGACUAACGGAGCGACAAACUAAUUAAUUGAGGCAUUUUC